UGUUGCCGCUGAGCUCGGAGGAGAGGCGCUUGGCGAGGUCCUCGUGGUACAUGGUUUUGUACUCCUGUUUGAGGUAGGCUCGCUGGGUGGCGUCGCGGUGGGCGAGGAUGUUGAUGACGGCGGAUGUGUCACAGCCCAACCCUUUGAAGGCGCGGUGGAGGCUGAUAGCGUCGUCCCUGGGGGUGGUUAGCACCGGCGGUACGGUCACAGAGGCCAUUGGUUUUGUUUCUGCAACUAGAAUCGAUGAAAUUUUGAGACCAAGUUUAUGAAUUGUGGGAUUAAAUUGGAAAAUAUUGAGAUAAUAUAAAG
Molecule: long non-coding RNA, 309 nt
Filed under: Malus domestica (apple)
Lineage: Eukaryota; Viridiplantae; Streptophyta; Magnoliopsida; Rosales; Rosaceae
Description: long non-coding RNA (MDOM_LNC015741)
Source: RNAcentral